GAAAAUUUUCUUUUUAUCAUUGAGAAAUCCAAAACAAAAACAAAAAAAAAUCAAUAGGAAGAAGGAGAGGGUUGAAUGGCAAUGGAAGAGGAGUGGCGGUGGUAGCAAUAGUGUUGUUCCUAGCCAUUGUCAAGUCUCAAGCGUUUUACGAAGAGGGAGUUAAGAAAGGUGUCACCGCCGACAUCCCAGGCACACUACAGCGGUGCCAAUGAGGAAGAAAGACUAACUUGGAGGUGCGCCUCGUCAGUCUUAUUUUCGGAGAAAGAAGAAAACCUAUAAGAAGGAGGAGGAACGACGCUGGCGCUGGUGCGCCCCUAUGUGAAGGAGGAAGAAUGGAGAAACUGCCCUUCCCUAGCGCGUGUUAGAGAUGAAGAAGAGGUGCUUCAUUAGGCCAUACGGUUCUGCCUCCUUUGCACCUCCAUGUUUUAUGGGAUGAUUUCAUUUUCUUUAUACACCCCAUACGUACUGACCCUACACUCUCGUGUAUUCUGUGUUUGUUGAUGGGUCGUUUAUUCAUUUUACUUGCGAUACCCCACGUUGCACAUAUCAUAUUAAUUACUUAUAACACUACACGUUUUACUAUCUCCACACCCCCUGUUGGUUUCUUGGAAUGUUUUAAUUUUUCUGUUUACACGUGUAUUUUCUUCUGGCGCACCACCCUCUUUCUUAUUGAACCAAACCCUUGUGUUAUUAUUUUGCAACACUUUUUCACUAUUUAUAAUUCCACCUUUUUU
Molecule: long non-coding RNA, 734 nt
Filed under: Vigna radiata
Lineage: Eukaryota; Viridiplantae; Streptophyta; Magnoliopsida; Fabales; Fabaceae
Description: long non-coding RNA (VRAD_LNC008715)
Source: RNAcentral